AAAUUGAAGAGUUUGAUCAUGGCUCAGAUUGAACGCUGGCGGCAGGCCUAACACAUGCAAGUCGAACGGUAGCACAGAGAGCUUGCUCUCGGGUGACGAGUGGCGGACGGGUGAGUAAUGUCUGGGAAACUGCCUGAUGGAGGGGGAUAACUACUGGAAACGGUGGCUAAUACCGCAUAACGUCGCAAGACCAAAGAGGGGGACCUUCGGGCCUCUUGCCAUCAGAUGUGCCCAGAUGGGAUUAGCUUGUUGGUGAGGUAACGGCUCACCAAGGCGACGAUCCCUAGCUGGUCUGAGAGGAUGACCAGCCACACUGGAACUGAGACACGGUCCAGACUCCUACGGGAGGCAGCAGUGGGGAAUAUUGCACAAUGGGCGCAAGCCUGAUGCAGCCAUGCCGCGUGUA
This 406-nucleotide ribosomal RNA is filed under the name Salmonella enterica subsp. enterica serovar Infantis. Its description in RNAcentral is "bacterial SSU rRNA". It matches the Rfam family "Bacterial small subunit ribosomal RNA", at positions 1 to 405 of the family's 1533-position model. The record is from RNAcentral. Lineage: Bacteria; Pseudomonadati; Pseudomonadota; Gammaproteobacteria; Enterobacterales; Enterobacteriaceae. RNAcentral also lists the same sequence under 1 other name.